Molecule: ribosomal RNA, 492 nt
Filed under: uncultured bacterium
Lineage: Bacteria
Description: partial 16S ribosomal RNA
Rfam family: Bacterial small subunit ribosomal RNA
Source: RNAcentral
AGUGAACGCUGGCGGUAGGCCUAACACAUGCAAGUCGAACGGCAGCACAGUAAGAGCUUGCUCUUACGGGUGGCGAGUGGCGGACGGGUGAGGAAUACAUCGGAAUCUACUUUUUCGUGGGGGAUAACGUAGGGAAACUUACGCUAAUACCGCAUACGACCUACGGGUGAAAGCAGGGGAUCUUCGCACCUUGCGCGAUUGAUUGAGCCGAUGUCGGAUUAGCUAGUUGGCGGGGUAAAGGCCCACCAAGGCGACGAUCCGUAGCUGGUCUGAGAGGAUGAUCAGCCACACUGGAACUGAGACACGGUCCAGACUCCUACGGGAGGCAGCAGUGGGGAAUAUUGGACAAUGGGCGCAAGCCUGAUCCAGCCAUACCGCGUGAGUGAAGAAGGCCUUCGGGUUGUAAAGCCCUUUUGUUGGGAAAGAAAAGCAGCAGGUUAAUACCCCGCUGUUCUGACGGUACCCAAAGAAUAAGCACCGGCUAACUUCGUG